AGAGCGAACGCUGGCGGCAUGCUUAACACAUGCAAGUCGCACGGUUCGGGGGCAACCCCGGGCAGUGGCGGACGGGUGAGGAACGCGUAGGAAUAUGUCCUGGGAUGGGGGAUAACCGUGGGAAACUACGGCUAAUACCGCAUGCGGCCUGAGGGCCAAAGGUCGAAAGGCCGUCUUGGGAGGAGCCUGCGUCCGAUUAGCUUGUUGGUGGGGUAACGGCCUACCAAGGCUGCGAUCGGUAGCUGGUCUGAGAGGAUGAUCAGCCACACUGGGACUGAGACACGGCCCAGACUCCUGCGGGAGGCAGCAGUGGGGAAUAUUGGACAAUGGGCGCAAGCCUGAUCCAGCAAUGCCGCGUGGAUGAAGAAGGUUUUCGGAUUGUAAAGUCCUUUCGGCGGGGACGAUGAUGACGGUACCCGCAGAAGAGCCCGGCUAACUUCGUGCCAGCAGCCGC
This 454-nucleotide ribosomal RNA is filed under the name uncultured bacterium. RNAcentral describes it as "SSU rRNA". It matches the Rfam family "Bacterial small subunit ribosomal RNA", at positions 26 to 518 of the family's 1533-position model. The record is from RNAcentral.